Molecule: RNase P RNA, 348 nt
Filed under: Negativicutes bacterium
Lineage: Bacteria; Bacillati; Bacillota; Negativicutes
Description: RNase P RNA component class A
Rfam family: Bacterial RNase P class A
About the family: Ribonuclease P (RNase P) is a ubiquitous endoribonuclease, found in archaea, bacteria and eukarya as well as chloroplasts and mitochondria. Its best characterised activity is the generation of mature 5'-ends of tRNAs by cleaving the 5'-leader elements of precursor-tRNAs.
Source: RNAcentral
AAAGUUCGACAGGCAAUCGCGGCUGAUGAUAAGUCAGACGAGGAAAGUCCGAGCUCCAUAGGGCAGGGUGCUGGAUAACGUCCAGUGGGGGCAACCCUAAGGCCAGUGCCACAGAAAGAAACCGCCGAUUUAUCGGUAAGGGUGCAACGGUGCGGUAAGAGCGCACCAGCGGCUGGGCGACCAGCCGGCUAGGUAAACCCCACCCGGAGCAAGACCAAGUAGGGAAGGUGUGAAGCGGCCCGCUGACCUUCCGGGUGUGUCGCUCGAGCGAUUGAGCAAUUGAUCGCCUAGAUAAAUGAUUGCCACUGCGCAAGCAGAACAGAACUCGGCUUAUGGCGAACUUUUUCU